Long non-coding RNA from Anopheles coluzzii, 2602 nucleotides. RefSeq lists it as uncharacterized. The record is from RefSeq and is a predicted model, not a curated record. The transcript is spliced from 2 exons. Lineage: Eukaryota; Metazoa; Arthropoda; Insecta; Diptera; Culicidae.
UCGCAACCUAAAAGGGACGAGGACAAGCCUCCCAUCUAUCCGAACAAAAAGACUUUUCUUUCUUUCUUUUUUUAUUUUUAUAUAAAAAGACUUUGAGGUCUAGCUCAUUCGCUUCUUUAACAAGAAGACGAGCCGUGCUGCUAACAACUUUACUUUUAUUUAUUUUUACAAUAAAAAAAAACCGUACUGUCGAUUGUUGGUAGCGUUCCGGAGGGAUGCGGAAACACAGCCCGUUCCCGCUGCUGAAAGGUUACCAGCUACCAGCUACCAGCAACCUUCCAGCAAUCCACACGUACACGUACACGAACCGUGCUUUCGAUCCUUCGUGGCGUACCGGAACCACUUUAGGGAAAUUAUACGGUUCCCUAACAUUAGCACAGGGGCUUCGGAUGAGCUUCAGAAAGGCGUCUUACUCCGUUGAGGUUCAGGAUACAAGAGCUAACGAAAAUCGAACAACACAAUCAUGGAAUUGAUAAACACAAUUAUGCGCUUUUUUCAAAUGUCUUCAGAUACCAUCAAGAAAUCCUACAGACAUCCGAAACGCCGUCUCAAAAUACACUAGCGUAUUUAGCCCACCACGAAAAAUAAUUUGUGAUUUAGAAACUACAUUUAGAAGAAGCCUUCAGCUACAAAGUUUCUCUUCCGAAUCCAAUGUCCAAGUAGAGCAAACGCACAGUACCAUUAAAGAACCGAUCAAUACAAACAAACAAACAUUCGGAGAUUUUAGUUCACCAGAGUUAGUGAACAUAGUAACAGCCUUAUACAACGAUAACUGCACACUCCGCUAUUGGGUUCGCCGCUAACGAAAUAUUAUUCAACUGAUUGAAUACAACAGAAUAAAACCAUUUUCACAUUUCAACAUAAGAGAUGAAGAACGCUUACAAUAAAGUAUCUUAAAAAAAAUACAAAACACCCAUAGAGACAUGUAAAGAUACAAUGACAAUAAGGCAAACCCAUCAGAAAUAGAGACAGAGAAGGCAGUCUACGUAAAGAAAGGUGUAAAAAAAACAUAAGAUCCCAGAUUCAAUGCGAAAACAUGUAUGAAUAUCAAUAACAAUAGGGCAGUACCAAUAGACAUAACAGUCGAGAACAACAAAAACAAAUUUAACGAUCAAAAUCAUCAUUUUAUUGUCAUUACGGAAGUAACCAAUAACUAAAGUAAUCAUAAAAAGAAAGGAAAAAAGCAAUUAUCGCUAAUCCUACCAACAUUAGCAUUACUUAAAAUGAAAAGCUACGGCCAAGAAAUAGAAAUUACGUAUUUAAAUAGGCAACCAUUAUUGUUUUGUCAAAACCAAAUCAUGUAGAAUACAUUUCGGAACAUGAAAAUUAUAUUAACACACUAAUAACCCAUCUGUGGAUAUGCGAAACAACUAACAAUUACAUUUAAUGAACUAAAUCGUGUGAAGAUUAAACAAUUGUACUCGAACUUUAUACAAAUAGUACCAAAACAUUGACUUAGCUGAAGCAUCGAACUCAUCGGUCAACCGUGGAAGUGGAUAACUGGCAGUCCAGGUCGCUGAAUAUUUGCGUCUGAUUAACGCAAGACGAGAUAAUUAAGAGAAAACAUCCGCAUUCUACUGACAUUGAAGCUAUCAAGAGCCCAUAUUUAACAUCAACGGCAUGAUUCACCUCAUAGAAUUCAUCCAAAACACAGCAGUUUGGGCACUCGAAUCUGUUACCAAAAGUAAACUCCUCACAGCACCACACGAGAUGAGUUUGAUACGUUCCACACUAGCAGAACAAGGCGCCGUGAUAGACAUUCCCAGUACAUCCCAGUUAGAAACAGAACAAGCUUCAGAGCUAUAGCUGAACAUCUAAUAUUACUGAACAAUGGUAACAACAUCAGCUAACGGAGCAAAUGCGUUCCUAACAAUAGAACAAUCCAUGGGAUCUAUUUGAUCCAUGGGAGUUCUCCAACUGCACAGUUAUAAUUGGGAGAGAUACACCUUCUCAUCAAAAACGCCUUCGAUUACAUCGGAACCAUAUUGAGUGCCCAAGCAGCAAUACCGCCAAAUACCAAUAACCUUUGGCAACAAUGUCAUUAAUAGGAUGAUUCUGGAACAACGUUAAGCUUCUGCAAUUCAGCAACAUCGAUUACUGGAAGUGGAGUAUACCGAGAGGAACACUGAAUCCCAUCGUAACAAUGCUUACGUUCACAUUUUACCUCGUUAUUACUGCAGAAGAACAAUAGGGACCAUCGAUAGAGCAUUAAACUCUAAGAAAAGGCGAAUCGCAAAGCGAUACCUUAAACGCGUCUUCACCCGCCGGAGGAGUUACGUGCCCAGCUACUGCCACGUGUGCACGCGCUCCCCAGCAACAGUAACGCAACACUAAUGUGCUGCGUAUCCGGCAACAGCAACCUGAUUGCUAACCUGACGCAUAAUCGAUCGAACCAGCCAACAAGCCAGCCAACCAGCCAGCCAACCAGCCAGCCAACCAGCCAGCCAACCAGCCAUCCAACCAGCCAUCCAACCAGCCAGCCAACCAGCCAGCCAACCAGCCAGCCAACCAGCCAGCCAUCCAGCUAGUCAACCGACCCGUCAGCGAGCCAACAGUUCGUGAAACACUCCAUGAGUAAAGAAUAAAGUUUUGUUUAAACUAA